Non-coding RNA from Oryza punctata, 120 nucleotides. Lineage: Eukaryota; Viridiplantae; Streptophyta; Magnoliopsida; Poales; Poaceae. The record is from Rfam.
UUGUAGCUAUGAUGUUGGCCCGGCUCACUCAGAAGAGAGUGCAUGAAUCUGAUGCAGUCUCAGUGUAAUGCUCCAUGCUAGAACUUCUGAUUGAGCCGUGCCAAUAUCUCAGCACCAUUU